This is an RNA transcript of Quercus lobata, 1080 nucleotides long. RefSeq lists it as uncharacterized. The record is from RefSeq and is a predicted model, not a curated record. NCBI's taxonomy places the organism in Eukaryota, Viridiplantae, Streptophyta, Magnoliopsida, Fagales, Fagaceae. The transcript is spliced from 5 exons.
AGCUUCGGACGGGGACAGAAAGCCUUGUGAGUUGUGAGCUUCGAUGGCAGUGGCAAUGGUAGUUUGUCGAUGCCGGUCUGUGUUAAGAAACGUGGAUUUCAGAGGUUGGGACCCAAACCCCAAACCCAAACCCCCUAUUUGGGCGUUAGAAUCCCAAAAUUCAUUGAUAUCAAACAACGGCAUGCGUCGAGCCGCUGAGGGUUUUAUCAUUUUGGGCAAAUCUUCGUCAAAUAUUGGAAAGGUUUGGAUUCUGGGUUUUAUCAAUUUGGGCAAAUCUUCGUCAAACAUUGGAAAGUGAUGAAGCACUCAUUUUCUUUGAAGCAUUUCAUGCGGUUCUUGUCUUCUUCAAUGCGAUUCUGGGUGUCAUAAUUGGUGUACACUUUCAUUACUUGGGUGUCUCGCCACUUGAAACGCAUCUUGGUAUCAUCUUGUGUUUAAUAGCGGCUACACUUGUCUAUAUCACUGCAUAUUUGGUGAUAAAAGUAAAACCGCAAAAUGCUGCCUACCGUUUCAUCUUCAGUCUCGUUUGUCUGGUAUCUGGAAUUUUUUCUGCUGAGCUGCUUCUCACAUUAAUAAUUUCUCCCCUUAGGAUAUUCAUGGUUAGUUUAUGUCCAAUCCUGAUAAUUGGGAUUGGGAUACUGUAUCAUUGCUACCGACAAAUUUAUGAGGAUCUCUACAACACAGCUGGAGCUUCUGAUGCAAUAUCUUCAAGGGAAGGAGACAUUGAGAUGCAGCAGGCAGAAACUAACCAGGGUUAAGUGGCCUGUUAUUGUUAACUACCUAGAAAGGACACGUUGGAUUAAGUGUUGCAUCUGAAGAUAAUGACUUGAAGAAGAUGGUUGCUGAGAAGAUAAUGCCUCAAUUAGGAUUGCUGUUAUUUGAAUUAUAUUAGGAUUUUUGCUAUUAGGAUUGCUGUUAUCAAUAAGUAACUACUUGAUUAUUCGACUUCCCCUGUUAUCUUUGGAUUGGAUUAGUCGAUUAGCAGGUUGUUGUGGAGUUAUUUUUGUAAUUUGAAUUUCACAGAUUAUGUAUUUAAGGAGGAAGUGAAUAAUAAGAGGCAUCAGAUUAUAAUUCCAGAAA